UCGAGCGAACAGAUAAGGAGCUUGCUCCUUUGACGUUAGCGGCGGACGGGUUAGUAACACGUGGAUAACCUACCUAUAAGACUGGGAUAACCUCGGGAAACCGGAGCUAAUACCGGAUAACAUAUUGAACCGCAUGGUUCAAUAGUGAAAGGCGGCUUUGCUGUCACUUAUAGAUGGAUCCGCGCCGUAUUAGCUAGUUGGUAAGGUAACGGCUUACCAAGGCAACGAUACGUAGCCGACCUGAGAGGGUGAUCGGCCACACUGGAACUGAGACACGGUCCAGACUCCUACGGGAGGCAGCAGUAGGGAAUCUUCCGCAAUGGGCGAAAGCCUGACGGAGCAACGCCGCGUGAGUGAUGAAGGUCUUCGGAUCGUAAAACUCUGUUAUCAGGGAAGAACAAAUGUGUAAGUAACUGUGCACAUCUUGACGGUACCUGAUCAGAAAGCCACGGCUAACUACGUGCCAGCAGCCGGGUAAUACGUAGGUGGCAAGCGUUAUCCGGAAUUAUUGGGCGUAAAGCGCGCGUAGGCGGUUUUUUAAGUCUGAUGUGAAAGCCCACGGCUCACCGUGGAGGGCAUUGGAAC
Molecule: ribosomal RNA, 585 nt
Filed under: Staphylococcus warneri
Lineage: Bacteria; Bacillati; Bacillota; Bacilli; Caryophanales; Staphylococcaceae
Description: bacterial SSU rRNA
Rfam family: Bacterial small subunit ribosomal RNA
Source: RNAcentral